GAUGAACGCUGGCGGCGUGCCUAGUACAUGCAAGUCGAGCGAACGGACGAGAAGCUUGCUUCUCUGAUGUUAGCGGCGGACGGGCGAGUAACACGUGGAUAACCUACCUAUAAGACUGGGAUAACUUCGGGAAACCGGAGCUAAUACCGGAUAAUAUUUUGAACCGCAUGGUUCAAAAGUGAAAGACGGUCUUGCUGUCACUUAUAGAUGGAUCCGCGCUGCAUUAGCUAGUUGGUAAGGUAACGGCUUACCAAGGCAACGAUGCAUAGCCGACCUGAGAGGGUGAUCGGCCACACUGGAACUGAGACACGGUCCAGACUCCUACGGGAGGCAGCGGUAGGGAAUCUUCCGCAAUGGGCGAAAGCCUGACGGAGCAACGCCGCGUGAGUGAUGAAGGUCUUCGGAUCGUAAAACUCUGUUAUUAGGGAAGAACAUAUGUGUAAGUAACUGUGCACAUCUUGACGGUACCUAAUCAGAAAGCCACGGCUAACUACGUG
Molecule: ribosomal RNA, 497 nt
Filed under: uncultured bacterium
Lineage: Bacteria
Description: partial 16S ribosomal RNA
Rfam family: Bacterial small subunit ribosomal RNA
Source: RNAcentral